This 490-nucleotide ribosomal RNA is filed under the name uncultured bacterium. RNAcentral's name for it is "partial 16S ribosomal RNA". It matches the Rfam family "Bacterial small subunit ribosomal RNA", at positions 30 to 507 of the family's 1533-position model. The record is from RNAcentral.
AUUGAACGCUGGCGGCAGGCCUAACACAUGCGAGUCGAACGGUAACAGGAAGAAGCUUGCUUCUUUGCUGAAGCGUGGCGGACGGGUGGGUAAUGUCUGGGACACUGCUUGAUGGCGGGGGAUAACUACUGGAACCGGUAGUUAAUACCGCAUAACGUCGCAAGCCCAUAGUGGGGGACUUUCGGGCCUCUUGCCAUUGGCUGUGCCCGGGCGGGAUUCGCCAGUAGGUAGGGUAAAGGCUUACCUAGGCAACGAUGGAUAGCUGAUAUGAGAGGGUGAAAGGGGAAACUGGAAGUGAGACAGGGUACAGACUCAUACGGGAGGCAGCAGUAGGGAAUCUUAAGCAAUGGGCGAAAGCGUGAAGGAGCAACGCAGCGUGAGUGAUGAAGGUCUUCGGAUCGUAAAACUCUGUUAUUAGGGAAGAACAUAUGUGUAAGUAAAUGUGCACAUCUUGACGGUACCUAAUAAGAAAGCAACGGCUAACUACGUG